UGCAGAGUAGACGAGGACGCGUUAAGUGUUGUCUGGACAGGGAGUUGUCAGGCAAACGAAGUCAAACGACGCGGUGUCUAAGUCGCAUCCCGCUGUA
Molecule: non-coding RNA, 97 nt
Filed under: Johnsonella ignava
Lineage: Bacteria; Bacillati; Bacillota; Clostridia; Lachnospirales; Lachnospiraceae
Also listed under: 1 other name
Description: THF-I sequence
Rfam family: THF (Tetrahydrofolate) riboswitch aptamer
About the family: THF riboswitch presents a pseudoknot that joins P1-P2 and the loop of P3 and two THF binding.
Source: RNAcentral